This 1337-nucleotide unclassified non-coding RNA is filed under the name Eurytemora carolleeae. Its description in RNAcentral is "uncharacterized LOC111704488". Lineage: Eukaryota; Metazoa; Arthropoda; Copepoda; Calanoida; Temoridae. The record is from RNAcentral.
GAAUUGGUUGAUGUAGUGUCUAACUAUUAUCUACCUAAAAUCAGUAAAAUCAAGAUCAAGUUUGAAUACUGCCAUCAAGUUGAUCUUGAAGGGUUUCCCUGGGAUCAAGGAUCAGGAGAGAGUUCCCAUGGCAGAUCCCUCAUGUGCUACCUGCUACAAGCUGCUACGAGGAUGAACUGGCAGCUGGUUGCUAGCGCUGAUGUGUCAGCUAAGGUUGUUUACAAGGACGACGAGAAAAACAAGUCGGCCGAUGUUCACAGCUGGUUUCUUGUGUACUGGCCGGCCGGCAAAUCACAAUUAUAAACAAACAAAAAGUUUUAAUUAUCAUUUUGUUCUUAUAACGAGAUAUUUGCUAAUCUUGUGCAGUUGUGCACUGCCAUACCAUAGACAGGGUUCCUAAAACAAAGGAUGCGACUUCAAAACGGCCGAACACUUAUAUAUAGCGCUAUGGAGGUAGAAUUUUAGGUUGCUGCCAUGGAUACAGUCUUUUAAGGACUAUAAAUAGUUUGGCAAAAAAAUCAAGUUUACAGCUACAUGAAACCAUUAUAAACCUAAGAAAAAAUCCUUACAAUCGUCUCUGAAGUCUCAUCCCUUAAGGGUAACCUUGUACUAGGGUUUCCAGUCGGAAUUUCGUUGCGCGGAGUUUACACGGCUCGCAAGUAAAAUCCCUUGCGUUGGAAACCCUACCUUGUCGCAUACACCGAGCUUGAACUGCACUAUUUGUACACCAAGAGAAGCAAAAUCCUUGUUAUAUUGUUUUUCUUUGUUCUUAAACUACAAAAUGUAUUAAGAUAUAUGUUUUAACCUGCAUGUCUCUCUCCUCGUGUUGACCUUUUCAUCGCUUAAACCUGUAAAGCUGAUAUUUAUGAAAACAUUUCUUUUCAACUAUUGGCACAUCAGAGUGCUUAUGACGGGUUCAAAAUCCACGUGUAAAAACGUGUUUUGGAUAUUUGACAAAUUAUUGUCUUUAACAUUAGUGAACUAUCUCACAAUCAAACUUUCUUCCUAAAUUUUAUUAAUUUUUGUAUUUGUAAAUUAUUUUCAGAAAAUUUAUAUCAAAAGAUGAUUGCGCUUGUUUAAUUCAAUUUUUUAAUGUAUUACAUCAUAUUAUGAUGUGCCCCAAGCUUUCGUGCCAUGAAUGUACAAACUGUCUGCUAUAAAUUUUCUCUUAAAGCUGUCUGUGCUUGGAAACUUGUAAAUCAAAAGUAUUCUGAGGGUCUACAAAGAAAAGAAUCAAAACUUCGCAAGUGUAUACAAAGCAUAGCUGUAAGCCUAUUAUUUAUGUGAUUAACCUAAUUAUGGAAUGAGGGUUGCAAAAUAAAUUUGUUCCAAUCCUA